UAAGGAAUAUUGGUCAAUGGGCGGAAGCCUGAACCAGCCAUGCCGCGUGCAGGAAGACGGCCCUACGGGUUGUAAACUGCUUUUGCAGGGGAAUAAACCUCGUUACGUGUAACGAGCUGAAUGUACUCUGAGAAUAAGGAUCGGCUAACUCCGUG
RNAcentral lists this ribosomal RNA (155 nucleotides) under uncultured bacterium. Its description in RNAcentral is "partial 16S rRNA". It matches the Rfam family "Bacterial small subunit ribosomal RNA", at positions 355 to 507 of the family's 1533-position model. The record is from RNAcentral.